GCAUAUCAAUAAGCGGAGGAAAAGAAACUAACAAGGAUUCCCCUAGUAGCGGCGAGCGAAGCGGGAAGAGCUCAAAUUUGUAAUCUGGCGUCCUCAGGGCGUCCGAGUUGUAAUCUAUAGAGACGUUUUCCGUGCCGGACCGUGUCCAAGUCCCUUGGAACAGGGUAUCAAAGAGGGUGACAAUCCCGUACUUGACACGACGACCGGUGCUCUGUGAUACGUUUUCUACGAGUCGAGUUGUUUGGGAAUGCAGCUCAAAAUGGGUGGUAAAUUCCAUCUAAAGCUAAAUAUAGGCGAGAGACCGAUAGCGAACAAGUACCGUGAGGGAAAGAUGAAAAGCACUUUGGAAAGAGAGUUAAACAGUAUGUGAAAUUGUUGAAAGGGAAACGAUUGAAGUCAGUCAUGUCCAUUGGAUUCAGCUGGUUCUGCCAGUGUAUUUCCUUUGGACGGGUCAACAUCAGUUUGAGCCGGCGGAUAAUGGCAGAGGGAAUGUGGCACCCCCGGGUGUGUUAUAGCCCUUUGUCGCAUACGUCGGCCCAGACUGAGGAAUGCAGCUCGCCUUUAUGGCCGGGGUUCGCCCACGUACGAGCUUAGGAUGUUGGCAUAAUGGCUUUAAACGACCCGUCUUGAAACACGGACC
This 640-nucleotide ribosomal RNA is filed under the name Saitozyma flava. Its description in RNAcentral is "LSU rRNA". It matches the Rfam family "Eukaryotic large subunit ribosomal RNA", at positions 38 to 667 of the family's 3401-position model. Lineage: Eukaryota; Fungi; Basidiomycota; Tremellomycetes; Tremellales; Trimorphomycetaceae. The record is from RNAcentral.